Molecule: ribosomal RNA, 529 nt
Filed under: uncultured bacterium
Lineage: Bacteria
Description: bacterial SSU rRNA
Rfam family: Bacterial small subunit ribosomal RNA
Source: RNAcentral
UUUGGAAUAUUGCACAAUGGGGGAAACCCUGAUGCAGCGACGCCGCGCUGGAGGACGAAGGAUCUAGGUCUGUAAACUCCUUUUGCCAGGAAAGACUUAGGACGGUACCUGGCGAAUAAGCCCCGGGCUAACUACGUGCCAGCAGCCGCGGUAAGACGUAGGGGGCGAGCGUUGUCCGGAUUUACUGGGCGUAAAGAGCGCGUAGGCGGCUAGUUAAGUGAGAAGUGAAAUCUCCAGGGCUCAACCCGGAAACUGCUUUUCAUACUGGCCAGCUGGAGGGACGCAGGGGUGACUGGAAUUCCCGGUGUAGCGGUGAAAUGCAUUGAUAUCGGGAGGAACUCCAACAGCGAAGGCAGGUCACUGGGCGUUUCCUGACGCUGAGGCGCGAAAGCGUGGGUAGCAAACAGGAUUAGAUACCCUGGUAGUCCACGCCCUAAACGAUGGAUACUAGACGUAAGAGGUAUCGACCCCUCGAGUGUCGCAGCUAACGCAUUAAGUAUCCCGCCUGGGGAGUACGGCCGCAAGGUUG